GUGAAUCAUCGAAUUUUUGAACGCAAAUUGCACUUUCUAGUAUUCCGGAAAGUAUGCCUGUUUGAGGGUCAGUUUAAUAAAAAUCGGGGUUGUUUCUUCCUUUCGUUGUGACGCGUCGGAAUGUGGGCGUUUUUCCUUUGGUUAAGUUACUUAAAAUUUUUGCAUGAUUUUCGAACGUAUUUAAAUCUCUUACGUACUAUGGAGAUAACGAAUG
RNAcentral lists this unclassified non-coding RNA (214 nucleotides) under Glomus sp. Its description in RNAcentral is "partial contains 5.8S ribosomal RNA and internal transcribed spacer 2". The stretch from base 1 to 71 matches the Rfam family "5.8S ribosomal RNA", at positions 84 to 154 of the family's 154-position model. Lineage: Eukaryota; Fungi; Glomeromycota; Glomeromycetes; Glomerales; Glomeraceae. The record is from RNAcentral.